CCUACGGGUGGCAGCAGUGAGGAAUAUUGGUCAAUGGUCGGGAGACUGAACCAGCCAAGCCGCGUGAGGGAUGAAGGUACAGAGUAUCGUAAACCUCUUUUGUCAGGGAACAAAGGCGGGGACGUGUCCCCGGAUGAGUGUACCUGAAGAAAAAGCAUCGGCUAACUCCGUGCCAGCAGCCGCGGUAAUACGGAGGGUGCGAGCGUUAUCCGGUUUUAUUGGGUUUAAAGGGUGCGCAGGCGGUCUGUUAAGUCAGGGGUAAAAGCCCGGGGCUCAACCCCGGCCCGCCGUUGAAACUGGCAGUCUCGAGUUGGAGAGAAGUAUGCGGAAUGCGCGGUGUAGCGGUGAAAUGCAUAGAUAUCGCGCAGAACUCCGAUUGCGAAGGCAGCAUGCCGGCUCCACACUGACGCUGAGGCACGAAAGCGUGGGUAUCGAACAGGAUUAGAUACCCUAGUAGUC
RNAcentral lists this ribosomal RNA (459 nucleotides) under uncultured bacterium. RNAcentral's name for it is "partial 16S ribosomal RNA". It matches the Rfam family "Bacterial small subunit ribosomal RNA", at positions 338 to 795 of the family's 1533-position model. The record is from RNAcentral.